AUUUAAAUAAUUUAAAUAAAAUAUAAUAUUGAAAAUAUUAAAAUAGAAUUUAUUCUUUUAAAUA
RNAcentral lists this transfer RNA (64 nucleotides) under Habroteleia persimilis. RNAcentral's name for it is "tRNA-Phe". Lineage: Eukaryota; Metazoa; Arthropoda; Insecta; Hymenoptera; Scelionidae. The record is from RNAcentral.